GGUUGGGGGGCCAAUUCUCAUCUCUUGCGGGGGCUCAAUUGAUGCCAGAGCCUUCCGUCAGGAGUUUGGGUGUAACCUUCGACGCCUCCCUCUCUAUGGAGGUGCAGGUUGCAGCUACAGCAAAGGCGGCAUUUUCCCACCUUCUUCGUGCUAAGCAGCUGGUCGCUUACCUUUCUCGCCCUGAUCUGGCCACAGUGAUCCAUGCGAUGGUCACCUCCAGGCUCGAUUAUUAUAACUCGCUCUACGCGGGGCUGCCCUUGAAGCUGACCCAGAAACUCCAAAAUGCUGCUGUGAGGCUCCUUACGGGGUCCUUGCCAUGGGACCACAUUCAUCCAGUGCUAUACCAGCUGCACCGGCUCCUGGUGGAGUACAGGAGCAGGUUUAAGGUGCUGGUUUUAACCUUUAAAACCCUAUACGGCUUAGGACCCUCAUACUUACGGGACCGCUUCUCCUGGUAUGCCCCGCGGAGAACCUUACGGUCUGCAAAUAAUAAUAUCUUGGAGGUCCCGGGUCUCAAGGAGGUUAAACUGGCCUCAACCAGGGCCAAGGCCUUUUCGGCUUUGGCCCCAGCCUGGUGGAACACUCUAUCGCAGGAGACCAGGGCCAUGCAGGACUUGACAUCUUUCCACAGGGCCUGCAAGAUGGAGUUGUUCCAUCUGGCUUUCGGUCCGGGUCCAGUUUCACCCCCCUCUAUGGGACCCUGUAAGUUACCUCUUUGGCCCUUUUAUCGGCUCAUGUGGGACCAACAUGGAGAGCUGGUUGAUGAAUACUUGAGGUUCCCGACCCCUAUGGUUGUAAUUCAUGGGCAAUCAUUUAAUUUUAUCCUGAUUCUAAUUUUUAAGCUGUAGUUUAAUCAAUUGUUGAUUGUGUUUUAAUGUAUUUGAUAUUUGAUGUUAGCCGCCCUGAGCCCGGUCUUGGCCGAGGAAGGUGGGGUGUAAAUAAAAACUUACUUACUUACUUUACUUACUUAACACCUUUCAGUGGGUUCAGUAGUGAAUUGGCAACUGGUGUGGAUCUUUCGAGACUGGUAUAAUAUGUGUUUGCCCAGAAAUGCCCAUCAGCAGUUUUGCUGCUGCAAACUGCAGUACUAGUUGCAUUUCCCAAACCAUCUUUAAGGACACUCCAGGUAGAGUCCAUUGCAAUGAUUCAAUCUGGAAGUUACCAAUCACUGUGGCCAAGCUAUCCCUAUCCAGGAAAGGCUGGCGGGCCAAUCAAAGCUGAAAAUAAGCACUCCCAGUCAGCCUUGCUCAUCUUAAUAUCUGGACAGGUUAACACCUCUAUGCCUCAAAGACAUACAUGGAUCAAGGAGCAUCCCCAAACUAAGCAUCUGUUCCUUCCAGGGCACUAUAGCCCUGCGCAGACCUGGCCUCCCUACCUCCCAAACUCAACAACCCAUCAAAUGUCUAGUUCCACUCUGACACACACAUUUUGGCCAAAGGAAGCUACUUAUCUUCUCCACUUAUCUUCCUGCCAGGAACAGGUUCACCCAAACAAUUUAUGUGCUGCAGGUUGCUGUGUUCUUUACAUAGUAAAAGCAAGGAUCUCUGUUUUUCGAUUACUGUGAGCAACUUCAUUCGUUCACAAGGCCUUUAUAUAUGUAAGAAUAUACAAGACCUGGGACCGACCCUGGGGAUCGGUUUUGGUCUUGUUAGUCAAUCAGCAAUGUCUCAGACCUUUCAGUGAUUGAGAGCCGUGUACAUUCUGUCAUGCUCUGAAACGGCACAAACGUUUUGUUGUUGCUGUUGUCGUCAUGGCCUUGUGGGCUCGCUUGGCAGGUCUCGGGGAACUGGUGUUCUUUGUGAUCCUCCGGCCCUUUGGCCCUGACACAAUGCCCGUUGCUAUGGAAUGAUGCUCGCUAUCCAACAGGCAAGUAACCCAAUCCUGCUGAAUUUUAAUUCAAUGAAUUCCAGUGAUAUCAGAGCUGGGAAGUUGAUACACUUGAAUACAUGCUAAUGGGGACUGAAAAGCUAAUUAAUUAAUGACCGGAAGGGAGGAGGGAGAGGUAACAACCCCUAGAAACCUCUAGUUCUUCAGCACAACCUGUAGAGGCACAAGUAAGUCUUUCUUCAGGAAAGACAGUAAUAGACAAGUUACUCCCCUCACCAAACUAAUAUUUGCCCCUCAAGGGGAAACAAUGUAUGUUUUCCCCUGCAGGCCAAAUAGCAGCUUUGGGAAAUGGGAGGGGGAAGUUGUUGUUUUUUUAUCCUCUCCCCAUGUUGUGGGCCCUAUACAAAUAGCCUCUCUCCUAUGGUUGCUUACAUAUAUGUGUGUGCUGCCACCAGAAAUGGUGCUGCUUCUGGCAAACAACUGUCUCCUCACAUUUCUAGCUGGGAAACCUCUGACUGAGACUUUGGAGAGCCAAUCAGAAUAGGUGACACUAGGCUGGAUGGACCAGUGGUCUGAUUAAGUGUAAGGCAGCUUUGCGUGUUCACAUGUCCCCUUCUGACAUGUCAUCUCUGCCAGCCUUUCGCAGGUUGCUCUUUUCUCCUCUGGCUAGCAUGACUGAAUCUCGGCUUCUAGUAGCAGAAUGGCAACUUGCACAUCACCAAAAAAAGGAGAUGCUUCAUAGCACCCAAAAGGCCACAAAUCUGCAUAACAUUUGCAUAUGCUAAUUUAUUUGUAGAGAUGCACACUUGGAAUUAAUGACUAUAACAUAAAUAGAAAUGCAAUACAUCUCAGCACAGCGGGGGGAGACAUGUGACUUGGGUGCCUGAUCAGCCUGCUGUUAUGGUGCAGAUUGUUACUUCAAGACCCCCACUCUCUCUCCUUAGCGUUCUUUAUCUUUAAAUAGGAUUUGGACCACAUAGCCCUUCAAAAAGAGAGUGCCUUCUAAUCUCUGGAAAGGAGGAUAUAUGGCUCACUCUCCCUAUGAGCCACCUGAGGAAUUUACCAUUCAACGCAGCUCUCUCACUGCCAGCCGACCUUUGGAACAUGACACAGUCAUGGUACUGGCAACACCUUGAUGUGAUUUUGUGUGUGUGUGUGCAAUUAAUUAUCUGUCAGAGGCCCAUAAUUAAACAGUUGCUGAUACUGUCCUUUAGAAAGAGACAGUAUCAAGAUUGUCAAGUGGCUAAUUGCUCAGAAAGAAAGAGUGUUCAGGCCUAGUAAACAAGCCACCUUUCAUGCCUUUGACAUGCAGACGGCAGAACCUGGGACAUUCUGGAGAUGAAAAGGAGGCAUUCAAAUUCCUCCCAAGGUGAAGUGCCUCUUGGGCAGUGCAGUUGGCAGGACGUCAGCAAACCCCAGUGGAGAAAAUAAAAUUGCCAAAACUUCCGGGGUCAGCGCCAGCGGCUAAUGGUGGAGCUCCUCUAAGCGGAGGAACCAGCUCCGUGAAAACUGGGUCGCCCGUCACGGCGAAGGCGGGGACCCGCUAGAAAUCUCAGGUGGAGGAAGCCUGGGAACGUGGGGGUUCGGCAGGGCACCUGGAGCGCCCCCCUACUCGCGGGGAAUCCCUUUUAAGGGCUCUGGAGCGAAGUCGGGUGAGCGGCGCGGUGCUGCGAACUGAUUGCUACUUUCAUGGAGUGAAGCCGCACAGCCAUUGCCGGGGAGCGCUGACUUUUUUCCUGUGGACAUUUGGAUCUAAAGUAACUACCUGUGAGUAAAGUGAAGAAAUUGGACUUUUAAUAAGUUGAAUUCGGCUACGAACGGGGGAGGCGUAAAACAGAAAGUCCGCCUUCCUCUUUUUGUAAAUAGUGGGAAGCAAAGAGGUUUAAACUAAAGCCUGAAAGACUGCUUUUGACAUCUAAAUCUUCAGUAUAAAAAUAGCGAACCCCCCCUUGGCUGCAGGGGAAAAGGAUAAAUCUACAGGACCGGAUGGACUGACUUCUAGAUACUACAGAACUUUGAAAGAAUGGUUAAUACAACCAUUAAAGAAAGUCUGUAAUGAAAUAUUGGAAGGGAAAAGGGCACCUGAGUCGUGGAAAGAAGCAUACAUUACAAUUCUACCAAAAUCAGAGUCUGAAAAGACGCAACUUAAAAACUACCGUCCCAUAUCACUGCUUAAUGUGGCUUAUAAAAUUUUUGCAGACAUUUUGGCUAAAAGAUUAAAAAAGGUCCUAGCAGAAGAAAUUCAUAAAGACCAAGCAGGCUUUCUCCCGGGCAGGCAUUUGUCUGAUAAUACAAGGAAUAUAAUUAAUAUUCUAGAAAAGCUACAAGUGAAGAUUAAUACUAAAGCAGUUUUGAUUUUUGUGGACGCGGAGAAAGCCUUUGACAAUAUUUCUUGGAGUUUUAUGAAGAAGAAUUUAUUGGGGAUGGGGGUUGGUAAAGGUUUUGGAAAUGGUAUAGGUGCAAUUUACUCAGAACAAAAGGCUAAAUUAAUUGUGAAUAAUGUAGUGACGGAAGAAUUUAAGAUUGAGAAAGGAACACGACAAGGUUGCCCAAUCUCUCCAUUGCUUUUUAUUUCGGUCCUGGAGGUGCUGUUAAAUAUGAUUAGAAGGGACCAAUUGGUUAAAGGUAUACAAGUGGGAGCUAAAUAGUACAAACUGAAAGCAUUUGCAGAUGAUUUAGUAUUGACUUUACAGGAGCCAGAAUCAAGUACGAAAAGAGUAUUAGAAUUGAUUCAAGAAUUUGGUCAGGUAGCAGGUUUUAAGUUGAAUAAGACGAAAACUAAAGUUUUGGAGAAAAAUCUAAAUGAGAUUGAGAGAGAGAAGUUCCAGAACGAGACAGGUCUGACAUUGGUUAAGAAAGUGAAAUAUUUAGGGGUUAAUAUGACUGCUAAGAAUGUGAAUUUAUUUAAGGAUAAUUAUGAAAAAUGUUGGACUGAAGUGAAAAAAGACUUAGAAAUAUGGUCAAAUUUGAAGCUAUUGUUGCUAGGCCAAUUGCUGUGAUAAAAAUGAAUGUAUUGCCAAGAAUGUUGUUUUGUUUCAAACACUGCAAAUUUUGGACAAAAUGGACUGUUUCAAGAAGUGGCAGAGAGAUAUCUCUAGAUUUGUCUGGCAGGGCAAGAAGCCUCGUAUAAAAUUUAAGAUAUUAACUGAUGCUAAAGAAAGAGGUGGAUUUGCCCUGCCAGACUUAAAACUUUAUUAUGAAUCAGCCGCUUUUUGUUGGCUGAGAGAAUGGAUGCUUCUUGAAAACAUGGAUGUUUUGGAUUUGGAAGGUUUCAAUAAUGUAUUUGGUUGGCAUGCAUAUUUGUGGUAUGAUAAGGUCAAAGCACACAAAGCGUUUAAAAACCAUAUUGUAAGAAAAGCACUGUUUAAUGUCUGGAUAAGAUAUAAGGAUUUGUUAGAAAAUAAAACCCCAAGAUGGCUGUCACCAAUGGAAGCAAAGGCUCUGAAAAAACUCAAUAUGGAGGCCAAAUGGCCGAAGUAUUGGGAAAUUUUGGAACAAGAGGGUGACAGAUUAAAGUUACAGAGCUUUGAAAAAUUAAAAACAGAGUACGAGAUUGGCUCCAUUAUUAUCAAAUAAUGGAGGCAUAUAAUUUGGAUAAAAAACUAGGUUUUCAGGUGGAAAAAUCAAAGCUGGAAACAGAAUUGCUAGACCCUAAAGUUAAGAAUUUGUCAAGAAUGUAUAACUUGCUGUUGAAAUGGAAUACUCAAGAUGAAAUGGUGAAAUCUGCUAUGAUUAAAUGGGCACAAGAUGUUGGACAUAAUAUUAUGAUGGCUGACUGGGAACAGUUAUGGAACACUGGUAUGAAGUUUAUGGCAUGUAAUAUCUUAAAAGAGAAUUUAAUGAAAAUGAUUUACAGGUGGUACAUAACACCAGUCAAGCUUGCAAAAAUUUAUCAUUUGCCCGAUAAUAAAUGUUGGAAAUGUAAUGAAACUGAAGGUACAUUCUUUCACCUUUGGUGGACGUGCCCAAAGAUUAAGGCAUUCUGUGAGAUGCUCUAUAAUGAAAUGAAAAAGGUAUUUAAAUAUACCUUUCUAAAGAAACCAGAGGCCUUUCUCCUGGGCAUGGUAGGCCAAUUGGUGCCAAAGAAGGAUAGAGUUUUUUUCAUGUAUGCCACAACAGCAGCAAGAAUACUUAUCGCAAAGCACUGGAAGACACAAGAUCUACCUACCAGGGAAGAAUGGCAGAUGAAGCUGAUGGAUUACAUGGAACUGGCGGAAAUGACUGGCAGAAUCCGAGACCAGGGAGAAGAGUCGGUGGAAGAAGAUUGGAAAAAAUUUAAAGUAUAUUUACAGAAAUAUUGUAAAAUUAAUGAAUGUUAGAAGGAUGCUGGAAAGAAGUUAUAUGACUUUAGCAGAAAUGUUAUAAAGAAUUAAGUAUGAAUAGAUUGAUAAUGGGUAAAGGUGCAAAACUUAAGGUUAAUUUGCGUUAAGAUAAAUUAUGGAAUUAAAUUUGAGAAAGAGGGAAAGGAUUUGCUGGAACAACUAAUUGAACUAGAAUACAAAAAAGGAGGUGUGAGGAAGUCGAGGAAAUAAGCAAAUGAAAGAUAAGGACAUGAAAAUACGGGGUUUUUUUCUUUGGUUUUUUUCUUCUUUUUUUUCCUCCUUUUUAUUUUUUAAAAGGUUUGUGGUUUUUUAAAAUGUUUUUGGGUUUUUUUCCUUUUUUAAUGUUUUGCUGUAUUGUUGAUGUUCUGUUUUAUUGUAUUUUCUUUUGUUUUUGAGGUUUUGUAACUGUUUACUGUUUGUAUUUCUUUCUCUUCUGUAAUUCUUAAACUCUAAUAAAUAUCUUU
Molecule: non-coding RNA, 6613 nt
Organism: Podarcis lilfordi (Lilford's wall lizard)
Lineage: Eukaryota; Metazoa; Chordata; Lepidosauria; Squamata; Lacertidae
Source: the annotation of a GenBank genome assembly